GAUGAAGAACGCAGCGGAAUGCGAUAAGUAAUGUGAAUUGCAGAAUUCAGUGAAUCAUCGAAUCUUUGAACGCACAUUGCGCCCGUCAGUAUUCUGGCGGGCAUGCCUGUUCGAGCGUCAUUACGCCCCUCAAGUCCCCUGUGGACUUGGUGUUGGGGAUCGGCGAGGCUGGUUUUCCAGCACAGCCGUCCCUUAAAUUAAUUGGCGGUCUCGCCGUGGCCCUCCUCUGCGCAGUAGUAAAACACUCGCAACAGGAGCCCGGCGCGGUCCACUGCCGUAAAACCCCCCAACUUUUUAUAGUUGACCUCGAAUCAGGUAGGACUACCCGCUGAACUUAAGCAUAUCAAUAAGCGGAGGA
Molecule: unclassified non-coding RNA, 358 nt
Filed under: soil metagenome
Description: partial contains 5.8S ribosomal RNA, internal transcribed spacer 2, and large subunit ribosomal RNA
Rfam family: 5.8S ribosomal RNA (bases 1-120)
Source: RNAcentral